Molecule: ribosomal RNA, 305 nt
Filed under: uncultured bacterium
Lineage: Bacteria
Description: bacterial SSU rRNA
Rfam family: Bacterial small subunit ribosomal RNA
Source: RNAcentral
UCCUGCCUAGGGAGGCAGCAGUGAGGAAUAUUGGUCAAUGGACGCAAGUCUGAACCAGCCAUGCCGCGUGCAGGAUGACGGCUCUAUGAGUUGUAAACUGCUUUUGUACGAGGGUAAACCCCGAUACGUGUAUCGGGUUGAAAGUAUCGUACGAAUAAGGAUCGGCUAACUCCGUGCCAGCAGCCGCGGUAAUACGGAGGAUCCGAGCGUUAUCCGGAUUUAUUGGGUUUAAAGGGUGCGUAGGCGGUUUGAUAUGUUAGAGGUGAAAUGUCGGGGCUCAACCCCGAAACUGCCUCUAAUACUGU